This is a long non-coding RNA of Caretta caretta (loggerhead turtle), 462 nucleotides long. RefSeq lists it as uncharacterized. Lineage: Eukaryota; Metazoa; Chordata; Testudines; Cheloniidae. The record is from RefSeq and is a predicted model, not a curated record.
CAUGACAGCAAUGAUUUGUUCGGGAACUGUUCCUGUUUGUAAUCCAGUUGUGGAACAGAAGACAUUGUGCAUGACUUACAGGUUGAGAACAAAUUAACCAAUCAACCUCCACUUCAAUCAACUCUUCUGUGAUUAAGGUUACCCCGUCUUGGACAUCCUGGGGUUCCUUACUUAUGGGUUCCUGCUUGACUGGAGGUAUUCCAUGGGCCAAGGCUUAUUGCAUGAAGCUGAUUCUCAACUGGAUUGUUCUAUCAGGAACCAGAAUGCCGGAAAUGGGAAGACCAGACUACAGCCAGCAAGGGCUGUUGGAGAACACUAGCCGUGGGAGAGCAAGGAAAUCAUUUUAAGGGGGAUGGGCUGAGGCAUUUUCAGGAGGGCUAUGAGAACAGCAGGACCAAAUCUUUCAUCGGGAGAUGGUAAUGGUAUUACCUGGAAAAUGACUGGGGCAACCUUGGGGAUUGA